Molecule: ribosomal RNA, 471 nt
Filed under: Triticum aestivum (bread wheat)
Lineage: Eukaryota; Viridiplantae; Streptophyta; Magnoliopsida; Poales; Poaceae
Description: partial small subunit ribosomal RNA
Source: RNAcentral
AUGAAGCUGUCUCAAAUGUCAACCCAGUAUCUGAUCCAAUCGACGAUGCGCUUGUUGAUGCAGAUGGCGAGGGCUUGGUUACUUCCAGAUCAUCUAUGUUUUGAAGCAUACACUUUCAGUCUAUGCUUACUUAUUUUACGCUUGUCUGGUGAAACACUAGGUUCAGUUAAUGAGUCUAUUGCUGGAAAGGAGAAGACACCACAACUUAGCACUGACAUUCAGAAAGAUAACUUAACAUUGCCUGGUGAGACGUCAGAUGCAAAUAGCACUCGACAUUUCUUUACUUAUACCCAGGUGCUUUGCUUGCAUUGCAAAACUGCUACAUUCAGCGUGGCAUUUUGCGUUCUGAACCAUCCAUGCCUACUGAUGCUCGAAGCAAUCCGAGCAAGCGGGUCAGGAAGAAGUAGAAACAUAGCAUGGGGGGUGAGGCGUCUUUUGGAGAUCCAAGACUCUUGGUUGACGUUGCUGUAA